GAAAUGCGAUAAGUAAUGUGAAUUGCAGAAUUCAGUGAAUCAUCGAAUCUUUGAACGCACAUUGCGCCCCUUGGUAUUCCGAGGGGCAUGCCUGUUCGAGCGUCAUUAUAACCACUCAAGCCUCGGCUUGGUCUUGGGGUCCCGCGGUCUCGCGGCCCUUAAAAUCAGUGGCGGUGCCGUCUGGCUCUAAGCGUAGUAAUUCUCUCGCUAUAGGGUCCAGGUGGUGGCUUGCCAAAACCCCCCAUUUUUCUAUGGUUGACCUCGGAUCAGGUAGGGAUACCCGCUGAACUUAA
This 293-nucleotide unclassified non-coding RNA is filed under the name uncultured Leotiomycetes. Its description in RNAcentral is "sequence contains ITS1". The stretch from base 1 to 105 matches the Rfam family "5.8S ribosomal RNA", at positions 50 to 154 of the family's 154-position model. The record is from RNAcentral. Lineage: Eukaryota; Fungi; Ascomycota; Leotiomycetes.